CCAUCCUCUGGAUCCUCUUCUAUUUAUUGGAGACCAUACCAGCCACAGAAGGGUUAAGGAUCACCCUACAAUAGAUCCAGAAGCCAUCUAUACCAGAGCCAGGUCCCUUGGCUCUGAUUUUGUGAGUGUUUCCUUGCACCUAUUGCACUUUAAUAUAUAUUGUAAACGAUCUACACUAUUUUGUAUAUCUCUCUUUCUCCACAGAAAUAUAUUGGAGAAGAGGAGAGAACAAAUAUUGCUCCAUCCAUUGUGUUUGUAUUGUAUUUCAUAUUUAAGACUAAAACAGCCAAACUGGAAAUAUUCUCCAAGUCAUCUAUGCUUCCCAUUUGACUUCUUUGGCCUUAACUUUGAAAUUCACAUUGAAUUUCCGAUAAUUAUCACUUUAGUAAGUGACCCUGUCUAGUGUGAAUUGCUGUGAAUUCAAAGUAAAUUGAAAUUUUUAGGCCAAAAUAAAAACAUUGACAAAAAAAAUUUUCUAACCGGACUGAAAAUUUAAAAUUCACGUUGAAUUUAUUUCAAUAAACACUUUAGUGAAUAACACUGAAAAAUUAUAAUAAAAACAUUGAUUCAAGCAUCCAUUGUAGUUUAUUUAAAGGGACACUAUAGUCACCAACACGACUUUAGCUUAAUGAAGCAGUUUGUGUAUAGAUCAUGCCUCUGAAGUUUCACGGAUUAAUUCUCUGCCAUUUAGGAAUUAAAUCACUUUUGUUUCUGUUUAUGCAACCCUAGACAUACCUCCACUGGCAGUGACUGACACAGCCUGCAUGAAAACAAAAUGCUUUCAUUUUAAAUCAGAGGUAGCUUAAUUUAAAAGUUUUUAUCUGUUCUGUAAUUUGAACUUUUGAUUACAUACCACAAGCUACUGCAAGGUUUUGCAAGCUAUUAACAGAGAAGGAGAUAAGAAAUUUGGAAUUAAACAUAAUUAGCAAUAAAGGAAGUAUAAACAUUAGAUGACUCGUUACAGGAAGUGUUUAGGAACUCUGUGUACGUCACAUGCAGGGAGGUGUGCCUAGGACUCCAUUAACAAAGUGAUUUAACUCCUAAAUGGCAGAAUUAAGCAGCGAGACUGCAGAAGCAUGAUUGAUACACAAAACUUUAUUAGUUGUUUUAGUGACUCUAGUGUCCCUUUAACAUGAUCCAUUUGAUCUUUAACCCUUUGGAAAACACCUUCCUUUCUAAAACAAUACCCACAACUUCUCGCAACUCAGCACCUCCCCAAAAUGUGGUAACGAUCAAGGGAAGAUCAAAACUAAAAGAUUGUGCAUGUGACAAAAGCAGGAAAGACUGCAUAUAUUUUAAUAGUUUUAUCAAACAGGAGCAGGGCGCUUCAAUUCCUUCUGCAUGUGCAUUUUGCUAACGUCAGCUUGUCUGUAACUAUUUAGUACAAUGCUGCAAAAUCUGGCGUCCUUCUAUAAAAAAUAAAUAAUAAAAGUAAACAAUAACAAAUGCAUCCGAUUUUGGAUAAUUUUUUUGCUUUAAGAGUCUAAUGGAUUGAGGCCUUGCAUUUUUAUUUUUGAUGUGUGCAUGUUACAAUGUUGCAGGUGUUUAAUUGUAAGAAUGUAUAUAUUAUUUGUUAUGACAUUAAAUAGAUAUAUGUUUUAGGUCUAGAGAAAAGUCCCACUGCUAAUACAAAAUAAAUUUUAAACACACAAUCUGAAAGAAUUCUUUCACACAAACAUAUUUAUCCUGAGAAUACGCUGGUAUUGUGCAUGCAAUAAAAAUUGGUAAAUAAAAAAGAUUAAGUUAUUUUUCAAUAAACACAAAAUGCAUAACUUAGCAAUCCAUCAUUAAUAGGUAGGUGUGUGUCAUCCAAUUGCUCAUUUUCAUUUCAGAAAUUUACAAAGGAUUUCAGGAGAAAUCUGAUACACAUGUUAUCACAACUUUGCCUUUGUUACAUGUCCCAUGCGCAAAGCCUUAAACGGGAACUGUCACUUUGCUAGAUUUGUAAUAUUUUUUUUUAUGCAUCCAUAUAUUUUAUUAACGUAUUUGUGAGGUGUGAAAAAUAAAAUUAAUGGUAGAAAACUACACCUGUUUACCCUACAGCUGGGCACCUCCAUUUUAUCUCCCUGUAAAUCACUAUUUUAAAGGGACACUAUUGAACCCAGAACAACUACAACUUAAUGUAGUGGUUCUUGUGUCUAUAGUCUGUCCCUGCAGGUUCAGCAAUGUAAAUGCUGUCCUUUCAGACAAAAGGCAAGCUUUACAUUGCUGCCUAGUAACACCUCUAACACCUCUAACGGCUGUCACUGUGACUAAAGGGACUUCCUGGGUUAGGUCCAGCAAUCUUUGCAGGACCUAUGUUCAGUGUCUUCAGGCCCUGCAUGGAGCAGCUGAACGCACCCCACAUUAAUGAAUUGAUUAAAAUGCUGAUUGGCACAGGGCGGGGUUUUGUCGUGCAUGGGCAAUAGUCUCUUAAUGCUUCCCCAAGGGAAAGCAUUGGAUUGGCUGCGAUCAUCAAGAUUGAUGAUCAGAGCCACGGAGGGGAGGCCAGCCUUGGUGAGACCAGCACGGCUCUAGAAAAAAAGUAAGUAAAACUAAUUUUUAACUCCAUUUUGGAAAAAGGGGGAGAUAGGUAAUCAAGCAGUAUAGUGCUAGGGAUACAGGUUUGUCUUCCUAACACUAUAAGUUUCCUUUAACCCCUUAAGGACACAUGCCAUGUGUGACAUGUCAUGAUUCCCUUUUAUUCCAGAAGUUUGGUCCUUAAGGGGUUAAACUAUGCAAUUUCCACCUGGCAGUUAGCAUUAGCAAAUCAUACGGAAAUUGGGACAAAUUUAACAAGGUUUCUAUUUCUCUGCUGCCUUGGCAAAGUUUGCCCUGGCUUUGGCUUGUCUGAAUGGGAUUAUGAUCUGAUUCCAUAAUUAUUUUAUCUAAAUUUAAAAAAACAAAACCCAGAGCAUUUCAUGAGAAAAAGGUUAAUACACAUUAUAACUGAUUUUAAAUGUUCUAUUCAAUUUCAGAGAAGUGACAGCUCCUUUUUAUGUUAUGAUUCUUCCUCCUUUGAUAGGCAGUAACCCUGAAUUUAGCACUGCAAAGGACAGGAAACCUUUUAACUUUUGUCACAAUAUGCACAAUUUUAGAUUUAAAAAAAUAUCUAAACCUAAUAUAUUAUUAUCUCAUAGCUAGCAUCAUGUCUCCUCUCUACAAGUACUGGGGAAAAAAAAAAACCUCACUUUUUAAGUUAGGUCCCCUCUCUUACUGUCCGCUCUUCCAGUCAGGUCCUCUGCAUGCGGUCUCUACAGAACACAAUAUGGCUGCCCCUUCACUGACCUGACGAGUUAUGUGUAUCCAGUAUAUUGCAUUCAAAACAGAGGCACCAAUGCAAUUCAGUGCACAAAUAGCAUCAUAUACUGCAAACAACAGACAAACUGCUAACAGAAAUGCUAAAGGCACAGACAGCUUUGUACGAUAAUAGUAACAGAUGCACUGGAGAAUAAGUAAGAUUGCAGCUAUAGGUAGGGAAAGAAUCUCAUUUGCUUUUCUCAACUUCAUUAACAUUACCGCAGUCUAGAAACAGACAUUACAUGAUAAAACACAUGAACAAACAUAACAAAACAAAAAUAUUAUCUCUUACAAUUUUAGAAUUUUUGUGUCAUUACAUAUUAUCAGAAAUUACUUUUUUUUGCAGAUUUUUUUUCACAUAACAUAGGUAAUAAUAGUUAUUAGUUUAGCAAUUAAUUAACAUCCAUAAUGUGCUGCUUUGUGCCAGUUCUGGGUUAUGUCUUUGCAUGUACUGAAGUGAAUGUCCAUUCUACAUACUCCCUGAAAAGCAAUCAGAUUGUAUUCAUUUUUUCAAAGGGAUAGAGAAAAAAAGAGUGGAGAAAAAUAUAUGCUAAUUUAGUUUAUAAUAGAAGACCUAGCACGAGGUGUGUAAUUGACUAUCCUUUAUCUCUAAAUUUGGCAUAAUUCUUACCUGGUGCAAAGCACAAAGAAACAAAUUAAUGUUGAAGAAUAAAACACAGGUCAGGGGAAUGAAUAUAAAAUUAAAAGUAUGUUAAAAGAGUGUGGGGAUUCUAUUUCAAGUGUUACACCACACUUGAGAAUUUCUACAAGUCAGUUCCAUUAGGGGAAGAAAGUAGGGGUCCACUGAAAAGAAAUAAAAAAUAAAAAAAAUGUCUCACCCAGAAAGAAGGCAGUCCUUUGCAAGACACAAAAUGGGGUCACCUGGAAAGGGAAUAAACCAGAUGUUCUGGAGAGAACUACAAGCCACUCAAAGCACCCAGAGUAGACAUCUUUAAACUUGGCAACCAGCUGGCAGACGUAGAGUCUCCAUAUGAAAGAUGGAGAUUUCUCGAUAUCAGUUUAUAUCACUAUGCUAUUAUUAUAUAUUCAGAUUGCUAUCUACUAUAGAAGUUUAAUUACACAUUGCAAUGCAGAAACUUUUAACAAAGUGUGCCAUUUACAAAAAGAAAUAAAUCUGUAUAUUAAUAGGUAGUGAUGUCCCGAACGGUUUGCCGCGGACUCAUCAUUGAGUAAACUUUGACCCUGUACCUCACAGUCAGCAGACACAUUCCAGCCAAUCAGCAGCAGACCCUCCCUCCCAGACCCUCCCACCUCCUGGACAGCAUCC
RNAcentral lists this long non-coding RNA (4567 nucleotides) under Pelobates cultripes (western spadefoot toad). Lineage: Eukaryota; Metazoa; Chordata; Amphibia; Anura; Pelobatidae. The record is from RNAcentral.